Molecule: long non-coding RNA, 649 nt
Organism: Argiope bruennichi
Lineage: Eukaryota; Metazoa; Arthropoda; Arachnida; Araneae; Araneidae
Exons: 4
Source: RefSeq, a predicted model, not a curated record
AUGGUAUUACUCUGUUUCUUUAGUCGAUACAUUUGAGGGAUGUUUCGUUUAGUUAGCUGCUAUAUGAUCUUCUGCUGUUGUCAGGCCAUUUUACCUGUUAUCGUGGGCCUUACUUCUUAUUGGGUCAUUGAAGAAAUAGCAUCAAUCUACUGCUCUACAUGGAUUAUAAAUGAGCACGUGCCAAAUGACAUUCUACAACAAUCUUAAUGGGAUAUAACGAACACAGUCCGAUCAUGGAAACGAGAAACUGAAGACGUUCUAUAAUCUUCUACCAGAGGAAGGCGCAAAUGUUUGAAGGCCAUUUCUGCACGAGUUCAAAUAGUUUUUACGAAAAAGGAAUGACAGACGGAUUGACGAUUUCAUCCUCGGAAUUUUCAAAUGCUCUAUUCACACAUGGGAGUGCAAAGAUUCUAUGGACACCCUGCUAACUCCGUCCAUUGAGUAUGAUCCAAAGGUUCGUCUUGAUUGGCAUUAACCUUCAUGGCAUCGUACAUCUAGAUGGCUUUUUCACAUUCCUGUUAUCAAUCGGCAACUGAAUGGUAAAACUUUUAAUAAUGAAGUACCUUUACAUGAUUUUGGAUAAGCACGGCACCUUAAAGUAUUCUCUGCUUGGGAGUUUACUAUCUGAUGAACUCGAAAACCACAUGAA